UCCUUCUGGGAUUCUCUAUUGGCUGAACUCAGCCAGAAGCUGCCAAGGGAGACCCCCACAACUGGAUGCAGCCCACUGAAGUCAGCUUCCUGGGGUGCGUAGCUGAAGGUAGCAGGGAGCAAAAAGAAUCUGAAGGGGAAGUGAACAAUGUAGAGCGUAUCUGUGCUGAAGACGUAAGGAGAGAGUGGAGGUCAGAAGCUGGCAUGGUCCCUGGUGCAUGUAUCAGCCGCUAAAGAAGUGGAGAGUAUGAACAUAAGCAAGAGGAAGUGAUGAGUAUCCCUUCCAGGAGAACUCUAAGAGGCAGUGAGUGAUUUGCUGGGCUCCCAAGCCCUCUGCUCUGAUGACAGCAAAGCCCCAAAUCAUGGUGCCUCCAUCAGUCGGGACCCCUCAGCAGAGCCAGCUUCACAGCUGGAGUGGAUGAAUCAGAACUUUCCCCAUGGGAGCAUUUAUAAAAAGGGGACACCCAGCGCAGAAGAUGUUUUCCAGGGAGAUCUCGGGGAGCCCAACAAGCCAAGAAGAGCAGAGCAAAGCAUUCCAAGGAAGGACUCUAAGUCUGCAACCGAGCACACACGAGGGUAGCCUACGCAUGUACGUCUUGCAGUGAUGGCAAGGAGCAGGAGAAAGAAAGCCCAUCCAAACAAGCAUAUUGGAAGCCUAUGUAUCCCAUAAGCUGACAUCUUGUUGCCCAAAGCAUGUCAUGUGCGUGGUCCAGAGUCAGUGUUGAAGGGCUCUGCAAAAUCACAUGGUAAAGACUGUGGUUUCAGGGAGGAGUGAAGAUUUGUGCGCAUUGCUCCAAUUGACAACCAUGGCACUAGGCUCAGGCCACACUUCUUCCUAACAAGAGAGCAAGUCAAAGCGUGGUUAGUUAAAGUCCAUACAAAAACUCACUUUAACAGGCCUCCUCUGGAUUGAACAGCUGAUAUUAAGUCAUAAGGUACCACAUCAGAAAGAUACUGGGUAUCUUUGGUUCAGCAAUUCCAUCACCAGGGACUUUUUCAUCCUAAGGAAAUCACUGCACGGUGGACAAAGAUAUAUGCAUAAGGAUGCUCCUUCUGGCCAAAGACCAAAAACAUAACUGGCCAUCAGUAAAAGCCAAGUGAGUAAACUAUGGUCUAUAUAUGCAAUGAUCAAAGAAAUAAAGGAAAAUAUAUAAUUCUCUAGAAAGUAUCAAGUAAUAUGGAAGGAAACUAGGCAGGGGAGGAGA
Molecule: long non-coding RNA, 1204 nt
Filed under: Homo sapiens (human)
Lineage: Eukaryota; Metazoa; Chordata; Mammalia; Primates; Hominidae
Description: HSALNT0405459
Source: RNAcentral